This is a non-coding RNA of Sphaeroforma arctica JP610, 72 nucleotides long. The record is from Rfam. NCBI's taxonomy places the organism in Eukaryota, Ichthyosporea, Ichthyophonida.
AAGGAAUUAGCUCAGUGGUAGAGUAGUAGAUUGCAAAUCUAUUGGUCGCUGGUUCGAACCCGGCAUUCCGCU